Zingiber officinale is the source of this 886-nucleotide long non-coding RNA. RefSeq lists it as uncharacterized. The transcript is spliced from 3 exons. The record is from RefSeq and is a predicted model, not a curated record. Lineage: Eukaryota; Viridiplantae; Streptophyta; Magnoliopsida; Zingiberales; Zingiberaceae.
GAAAACCCUAGCCUUUCGCCGCUCCUCCUCUCGAGAGCACGCACGAGCUUUUCCCUCUCGCUGCGACCUAGCGGCGGUUCUCCGCAAUGAUCCUCCCUCUCGCGCACACGAAGCUCAGGCCUUCACAGUGGGACAGCCAAGCUUGUCCAACCUUUCCAUGUCUGGAUUCAAUCCUAUUGCAGCAGCAGUAAAAUCUGGCUCCUUGUCGAUCUAAAUACUGUAUUCAUAACAAAAUGACAAAAGCUUGGCAUGGCUGCUCACUUAUUCCAACAUCAAAUCAGUUUGUUACAGACUUAAACAUGUACAAUAAGCUUCCGCAAGUAAGAUAUCAAUUGCAAGAACAAAAACAGUCAAGGGCACAACACUUGCAAUCUAUAAUUGAGAUUGAUGACAGUCUUUCCAUCAUCAAGUAGCUUAAGGUCAAGUGAGUUUAGCUUCACUCUUAUGAAAAUAGAAACUGUAGAAUGAUUCCACAAACAAGGAAGAAAAAAGAUACAGGAGUCUGACUGAGAUUGCAAGAGCUCGUAUUGUCCUCUGACUGAGAUACAGGUGUGUUCUUCUUGGUGUGAGUUGUGGUGCGAACAUUACUGAUUUUGUUGCUCGAAAAGCAAUUGAGGCAGGAAAGCUGAUUGAACGGGUUAAGGUUGUCGCCCAGGUGUUGAUGUAUCCCUUCUUCGCAGGAACUGUUCUCACCCAUUCUGAACUAAAGCUAGCUGGUUGAAUUCUUUCAUGCUCUUUCCUUUUCUAUCCCGGAACAUGCAGUGUAGGAAUCAUUUCAUCAUGAUGUUGUUCCUCUUAGUUCUCAUUCUUUUAUUCCUUCACAUACUCUCUUUAAUGUACCAUCCUGUAAACUAUACAUCAAUAAUAUAGAAUAAAUGUCUCUCAA